This 255-nucleotide ribosomal RNA is filed under the name uncultured bacterium. RNAcentral's name for it is "partial 16S ribosomal RNA". It matches the Rfam family "Bacterial small subunit ribosomal RNA", at positions 524 to 776 of the family's 1533-position model. The record is from RNAcentral.
UACGUAGGGACCAAGCGUUGUCCGGAAUCAUUGGGCGUAAAGCGCGCGUAGGUGGCCAUUUAAGUCCGCUGUGAAAGUCAGAGGCUCAACCUUUGAAAGCCGGUGGAUACUGGAUGGCUAGAGUACGGAAGAGGCGAGUGGAAUUCCUGGUGUAGCGGUGGAAUGCGCAGAUAUCAGGAGGAACACCAAUAGCGAAGGCAGCUCGCUGGGACGUUACUGACACUAAGGCGCGAAAAGCGUGGGGGAGCGAACAGG